This is a long non-coding RNA of Xiphophorus maculatus (southern platyfish), 156 nucleotides long. RefSeq lists it as uncharacterized. The transcript has 4 exons. The record is from RefSeq and is a predicted model, not a curated record. NCBI's taxonomy places the organism in Eukaryota, Metazoa, Chordata, Actinopteri, Cyprinodontiformes, Poeciliidae.
CUGAGACAGAGGAAGCAGAAAAAGAACAUCAGGAAGAGAAUAAUCAUCAUGAACAAAAGACUGAUAAGCAAAGAAGUGUUGAAGACAUGAAGGAAGAAACCAACAAACAGCAAAGCGAUCAAAGUCUUUCAACCAAAAAUGGAGAAAAUAAACCUG